This 253-nucleotide ribosomal RNA is filed under the name uncultured bacterium. RNAcentral's name for it is "partial 16S ribosomal RNA". It matches the Rfam family "Bacterial small subunit ribosomal RNA", at positions 524 to 776 of the family's 1533-position model. The record is from RNAcentral.
UACAGAGGUCUCAAGCGUUGCUCGGAAUCACUGGGCGUAAAGCGCACGUAGGCGGCUUCUUAAGUCAGGGGUGAAAUCCUGGAGCUCAACUCCAGAACUGCCUUUGAUACUGAGGAGCUUGAGUCCGGGAGAGGUGAGUGGAACUGCGAGUGUAGAGGUGAAAUUCGUAGAUAUUCGCAAGAACACCAGUGGCGAAGGCGGCUCACUGGCCCGGUACUGACGCUGAGAUGCGAAAGCGUGGGUAGCAAACAGG